AUUGAACGCUGGCGGCAGGCCUAACACAUGCAAGUCGAACGGUAACAGGAAGAAGCUUGCUUCUUUGCUGACGAGUGGCGGACGGGUGAGUAAUGUCUGGGAAACUGCCUGAUGGAGGGGGAUAACUACUGGAAACGGUAGCUAAUACCGCAUAACGUCGCAAGACCAAAGAGGGGGACCUUCGGGCCUUUUGCCAUCGGGUGUGCCCAGAUGGGAUUAGCUAGUAGGUGGGGUAACGGCUCACCUAGGCGACGAUCCCUAGCUGGUCUGAGAGGAUGACCAGCCACACUGGAACUGAGACACGGUCCAGACUCCUACGGGAGGCAGCAGUGGGGAAUAUUGCACAAUGGGCGCAAGCCUGAUGCAGCCAUGCCGCGUGUAUGAAGAAGGCCUUCGGGUUGUAAAGUACUUUCAGCGGGGAGGAAGGGAGUAAAGUUAAUACCUUUGCUCAUUGACGUUACCCGCAGAAGAAGCACCGGCUAACUCCGUG
This 490-nucleotide ribosomal RNA is filed under the name uncultured bacterium. Its description in RNAcentral is "partial 16S ribosomal RNA". It matches the Rfam family "Bacterial small subunit ribosomal RNA", at positions 30 to 507 of the family's 1533-position model. The record is from RNAcentral.